This 127-nucleotide small RNA is filed under the name Marmota monax (woodchuck). Lineage: Eukaryota; Metazoa; Chordata; Mammalia; Rodentia; Sciuridae. The record is from RNAcentral.
GCUGGGUGUGGUGGUGCACACCUGUAAUCUCAGUGGCUAGGGAGGCCGAGGCAGGAGGAAAGUAAGUUCAAAGCCAGCCUUGGCAACUUAGCAAGGCCCUAAGCAACUUAGUGAGACUCUGUCUCUA